GACGAGGUAGCAAAGAGGCAAUGCGGGAGACAGCAGAUCUCCUUACGCGGGUUCAAAUCCUGCCCUCGUCU
Molecule: transfer RNA, 71 nt
Filed under: Patescibacteria group bacterium
Lineage: Bacteria
Description: tRNA-Cys
Rfam family: tRNA
About the family: Transfer RNA (tRNA) molecules are approximately 80 nucleotides in length. Their secondary structure includes four short double-helical elements and three loops (D, anti-codon, and T loops).
Source: RNAcentral